Molecule: transfer RNA, 78 nt
Filed under: Ornithorhynchus anatinus (platypus)
Lineage: Eukaryota; Metazoa; Chordata; Mammalia; Monotremata; Ornithorhynchidae
Rfam family: tRNA
About the family: Transfer RNA (tRNA) molecules are approximately 80 nucleotides in length. Their secondary structure includes four short double-helical elements and three loops (D, anti-codon, and T loops).
Source: Rfam by way of RNAcentral
AGCAGAGUGGCCUAGUGGAUAGAGCACGGGCUUGCCCUGGGACUCAAAAGGACCUGGGUUCUAAUCCCAGCUCUGCAA